CGUUUUAACUCCAAAAGGAAGUUGACUUCUAAAGAUACAUUAUUUGGAUACCUUUUUAUUAUCUAUAGAGCAUACAUUUUAAAUUUCAAUUCUCUUACUUCUAAAACAUAAGACUUUCAUACAAACUUCCGACAUCCGUUUUAUCCCCUUAGGGGUCGAUUUUCAUAAAAUAAGUUCAUAGCGAAUGUCUACGCUCUAUAAGAAACCUACCUGCCAAAUUUCAAGUUUGUAGCUGUUAUAGUUUUGGAGGUUUCGUGAUGAGUGAGUCAACCUACCAUCCCC
Molecule: unclassified non-coding RNA, 282 nt
Filed under: Melitaea cinxia (Glanville fritillary)
Lineage: Eukaryota; Metazoa; Arthropoda; Insecta; Lepidoptera; Nymphalidae
Description: misc RNA ENSMCXG00005007014.1
Source: RNAcentral